This 105-nucleotide ribosomal RNA is filed under the name Rhodococcus erythropolis. Its description in RNAcentral is "23S ribosomal RNA". The record is from RNAcentral. Lineage: Bacteria; Bacillati; Actinomycetota; Actinomycetes; Mycobacteriales; Nocardiaceae.
CGCCCAUGGUGAAUCAGUGAUACUAACCAUCCUGAAGCCACGAGGAGACCUUCGGGUCUCGAGUUGGUGGAUGCAUGGGACCUGAUCUGGUAGUAGCCAAGCGAU